AAUGAACGCUGGCGGUGCGCCUUAUGCAUGCAAGUCGAACGGGGUUACAGUCUUCGGAUUGUAACCUAGUGGCGGACGGCUGAGUAACGCGUAAGUAACCUGCCUUAGAGUGGGAAAUAACCUGCCGAAAGGCAAGCUAAUGUCCCAGUGGUAACGAAGCGAAUGCUUUGUUAUUAAAGCCUUAGGGUGCUCGAAGAGGGACUUGCGUCUGAUUAGCUAGUUGGUAGGGUAAUGGCCUACCAAGGCGAUGAUCAGUAGCUGGUCUGAGAGGAUGGUCAGCCAGAUGGGGACUGAGACACGGCCCCAACUCCUACGGGAGGCAGCAGCAAGGAAUCUUGGGCAAUGAGCGAAAGCUUGACCCAGCGACACCGCGUGAGGGAUGAAGGCCUUCGGGUUGUAAACCUCUUUUCUUGGGGAAGAAUUCUGACGGUACCCAAGGAAUAAGCCUCGGCUAACUACGUGCCAGCAGCCGCGGUAAGACGUAGGAGGCGAACGUUAUUCGGAUUUACUGGGCGUAAAGGGAGCGUAGGCGGUUCCUUAAGUCAGAUGUGAAAUCUUCUGAUUCAAUCAGAAGGCGUCAUUUGAUACUGAGGGACUUGAGAGCAACAGAGGGAAAUGGAAUCCCCAGUGUAGCGGUGAAAUGCGUAGAUAUUGGGGAGAACACCAGUGGCGAAGGCGAUUUCCCAGGUUGUUUCUGACGCUGAGGCUCGAAAGCGUGGGGAGCGAAGCGGAUUAGAUACCCGCGUAGUCCACGCCGUAAACGGUGGACACUAGAUAUGGGAAGUAUCGACCCUUUCUGUGUCGAAGCUAACGCCUUAAGUGUCCCGCCUGGGGAGACGGCCGCAAGGCU
RNAcentral lists this ribosomal RNA (850 nucleotides) under uncultured Chloroflexota bacterium. RNAcentral describes it as "bacterial SSU rRNA". It matches the Rfam family "Bacterial small subunit ribosomal RNA", at positions 28 to 895 of the family's 1533-position model. The record is from RNAcentral. Lineage: Bacteria; Bacillati; Chloroflexota.